This is a long non-coding RNA of Gouania willdenowi (blunt-snouted clingfish), 3165 nucleotides long. Ensembl lists it as uncharacterized. The record is from Ensembl. Lineage: Eukaryota; Metazoa; Chordata; Actinopteri; Blenniiformes; Gobiesocidae.
GGUUAUUGUGUGAUGUAUAUAGGCUAACAGGACGUGUGUAUUAACAUGACCCCCCCUCCCUGAGGCUGACGAUGGUUCCGUCCAAACAUUCACCCUUUUAGCGGGAAGUGAAACAUAAAGAAAGACGGAGAAAGUUCUACUGAAAUGAGGUCAUCAAAGGUCAGAGGAAAUAAAAAGCCUCCAGUGAAGAACAGGGUGAACAAGGCCUCCCCUGAUGAACUCUGGAACGUUCCUCACACGUCUGUGACAGACACAGACACUUUGUUGGAGGAAGUGAAGCUGAAGUGUGGUGAGCCCCUCCUACACAGCACAGCCCUGGAGGAUGACCUGAUUAGGUCUGAGGAUGGAGCUGCUGCUGUGGAGGAGCUCAGAGUAGAGUUACCUGUGGAGAAGAAGAAGAGGAGGAGUCAACCUGCUCCUACUGUCAGCACACGAUUGGUUGGAAAGAAAGCAGCCAAUGGGAGGAGAGCAGAACACGCUCUAAAGUCAGCCACCAAUCAGCGAUCAAUGAAGGACAACCAAUCAGGUUCCUCUACCAGAGGCCCUCAGCCAGUGGAGAAAAGCAGAUCAAAACGUGUGAGAUCUGAUGAAGAGGAUGGAGAUGAUGAUGAAGAUCACAGAGAGAAACCCUCCUCAGGUAAGAGCUGCAGUAGACUCAGAACCUGCAAGUGCUCAGAGCAGCUGAACCUGAUGUGUGUGGAUUGGUCAGGAGGAGGUUCCUCAGAGGAGGAGGGGGGAGGAGCAGAGAUGAGGAGGAGGAGGAAGAAGACCUGUGUAUCAGAGUUAGACAGGCUUGUGGAGGCGUUCCAUCACUUCUGUGGCCUCUACAGGAAGGACGUGGAGUCCCCACAAGACCAGCACAACAUCCUCACACUGUGUGAGAACGUCACACAGCUACUGACGGAGAGGGUCUCAGCAUCUCAGGAACUCAGAGCUCUCAAAAGAGGCAACGCUAAGACAGCUUCUAUGAUCCGCUCUAAGAUAAAACGACUGUUGGAUGGAAAACAUGAGCUGAUGAAUACGGAGCUGAUAGUGUGGCUGCUCUGCUGCUGGAGACCAGGAUCCAUGACAGACCUCCACCACCAGGGGGCGCUCACACCUCUGCAGGAAACCUUCACCUAUAGUCACAUGAUCAGUUCAGCUGAUCAAUAAAACAUGUUAGAGCACUUCCUGUCUGAUUCUCCCUUUGUUACACUAACUAAUAAUCAACCAAUCACAAGCUAGCUUUGUGUCCCGCCCCCUUCCUCUGAUUGGCUGAGCGUGUGUGUGUGUUUCUGUGUGUGUGAUUUAGUUCAUAGUUCUACACACUACACACAGGUAAGAUCUCUGUGUGUGUGUGUUAUAGAGUCAAUGUGUGUGUGUGUUAUAGAGUGAGUGUCAGUGUGUGUGUUAUAGAGUCAAUGUGUGUGUGUGUGUUAUAGAGUGUGAGUGUCAGUGUGUGUGUGUUAUAGAGUCAAUGUGUGUGUAUGUUAUAGUGAGUGUGUGUGUGUUAUAGUCAGUGUGUGUCAUAGAGUCAGCGUGUGUGUGUUAUAGUCAGUGUGUGUGUGUUAUAGUUAGUGUGUAUGUGUUAUAGUCAGUGUGUGUGUGUUAUAGUCAGUGUGUGUCAUAGAGUCAGUGUGUGUGUGUGUUAGCCAGUGUGUGUGUGUUAUAGUCAGUGUGUGUCAUAGAGUCAGUGUGUGUGUGUGUUAGCCAGUGUGUGUGUGUUAUAGAGUCAGUGUGUGUGUGUGUCAUAGAGUCAGUGUGUGUGUUAUAGUCAGUGUUUGUGUGUUAUAGUCAGUGUGUGUCAUAGAGUCACUGUGUGUGUGUGUGUUAUAGUCAGUGUGUGUCAUAGAGUCAGUGUGUGUGUGUGUGUCAUAGAGUCAGUGUUUGUGUGUUAUAGUCAGUGUGUGUCAUAGAGUCACUGUGUGUGUGUGUGUUAUAGUCAGUGUGUGUGUGUGUUAUAGUCAGUGUGUGUCAUAGAGUCACUGUGUGUGUGUUAUAGUCAGUGUGUGUCAUAGAGUCAGUGUGUGUGUGUGUGUGUUAUAGUCAGUGUGUGUGUGUGUUAUAGUCAGUGUGUGUCAUAGAGUCACUGUGUGUGUGUGUGUUAUAGUCAGUGUGUGUGUGUGUUAUAGUCAGUGUGUGUCAUAGAGUCACUGUGUGUGUGUGUGUUAUAGUCAGUGUGUGUGUGUUAUAGUCAGUGUGUGUGUGUUAUAGUCAGUGUGUGUGUGUGUUAUAGUCAGUGUGUGUCAUAGAGUCAGUGUGUGUGUGUGUGUUAUAGUCAGUGUUUGUGUGUUAUAGUCAGUGUGUGUGUGUUAUAGUCAGUGUGUGUCAGAGUCACUGUGUGUGUGUGUGUGUUAUAGUCAGUGUGUGUGUGUGUUAUAGUCAGUGUGUGUGUGUUAUAGUCAGUGUGUGUCAUAGAGUCAGUGUGUGUGUUAUAGUCAGUGUGUGUGUGUUAUAGUCAGUGUGUGUCAUAGAGUCAGUGUGUGUGUGUGUGUUAUAGUCAGUGUGUGUGUGUGUUAUAGUCAGUGUGUGUGUGUUAUAGUCAGUGUGUGUGUGUUAUAGUCAGUGUGUGUGUGUCAUAGAGUCAGUGUGUGUGUGUUAUAGUCAGUCAGUGUGUGUGUGUGUGUAGCCAGUGACAGGGUAGAGAGAAAGAGAGAGAGGGUUGAUCACUUAUUUUCCUUCUUGCUCUGCUUUUAUGGUUUAAAUGAUGAACUUACAGAGAUAUUAAAGGCUUAUUUCACUCAGAAUGUGUUAUGAUCAAUAUUUACUAUGGUUUUCCAGAAAUUAACGCUUUAAUUUUGCCCCGAUAAUAUGAGGAAGUCGUACAGCCUCCACAGCAGCCGUCUGCAGUGUAGCGGGAGGGAACUGGGAGGAGCUACAGCCUCCGCUCUACAUUACAUUAUUCUGGACAUGUUCAGACUGGGUCAGGUUUUCUUUUAUUGAUCUGAUUAAAGCUCUUGGUUCAGUCUAAAUGAGCAGUGCCCCCUAUUGUUCAAUCAGAGUAUUGAAGCACAGGCUGUGCUGGAUCCAUUGAAUCAUCUAUUAUUUACAUUCAUUGAGGAGAUAUUCUUGCAUCUCUAAUAACAUACGUAGUCCUCACCAUAUAUGAUUGAUUGUGUUUCUAUCAGUUAUUUAAUGAACAUAAACAUUAAUAAAUGAUGACUUCAUACAGAGCUGAUGAAUAUG